GUAGGGAAUCUUCCACAAUGGGCGAAAGCCUGAUGGAGCGACGCCGCGUAGAGGAUGAAGGUCUUCGGAUUGUAAACUCUUUUCGUUUGGGAACAAGUGUAUCUGCGUGAAUAAUGCAGGUAUUUGAUGGUACCAAAGGAAGAAGCUACGGCUAACUCUGUGCCAGCAGCCGCGGUAAUACAGAGGUAGCGAACGUUGUCCGGAUUUACUGGGCGUAAAGGGAUCGUAGGUGGUCACAUAAGUCGGGUGUGAAAUCGUAUUGCUUAACAAUACAAUUGCAUUUGAUACUGUGUGGCUUGAGUGCAGGAUGGGUAAAUGGAAUUUCCGGUGUAGCGGUGAAAUGCGUAGAUAUCGGAAAGAACACCCGUGGCGAAGGCGGUUUACUGGCCUGCAACUGACACUGAGGAUCGAAAGCCAGGGGAGCAAACGGGAUUAGAUACCCCAGUAGUCC
This 451-nucleotide ribosomal RNA is filed under the name uncultured Nitrospinaceae bacterium. RNAcentral's name for it is "bacterial SSU rRNA". It matches the Rfam family "Bacterial small subunit ribosomal RNA", at positions 354 to 796 of the family's 1533-position model. Lineage: Bacteria; Pseudomonadati; Nitrospinota; Nitrospinia; Nitrospinales; Nitrospinaceae. The record is from RNAcentral.